CGUCUUAUAAACCAACUAAAUGGACGUGAUACCAAUUAAUCUCAAACUUAUGAUUCAUACGAGAAAAUAGCAUGUUUACUUUGUUGUGUGUGAUUUAAGUAAAUAACGUUAAUGUGAUAUUUAAACCAAAAAAAAAAAAACAACUUAAAAUGUGAUAUCAUUCGGUGUUCAAAAAAUAAAAUAAAAUGUGAUAUCAUUCAUGUAAAGUUAUGUAUCAUCCGAGAAAUUAACAAUUUUUUUU
This 241-nucleotide long non-coding RNA is filed under the name Capsella rubella. RNAcentral describes it as "long non-coding RNA (CRUB_LNC002955)". Lineage: Eukaryota; Viridiplantae; Streptophyta; Magnoliopsida; Brassicales; Brassicaceae. The record is from RNAcentral.